RNAcentral lists this ribosomal RNA (169 nucleotides) under uncultured soil bacterium. RNAcentral's name for it is "partial 16S ribosomal RNA". It matches the Rfam family "Bacterial small subunit ribosomal RNA", at positions 338 to 524 of the family's 1533-position model. The record is from RNAcentral.
CCUACGGGAGGCAGCAGUGGGGAAUAUUGGACAAUGGGCGCAAGCCUGAUCCAGCCAUGCCGCGUGAGUGAUGACGGCCUUAGGGUUGUAAAGCUCUUUCACUCGGGACGAUAAUGACGGUACCGAGAUAAGAAGCCCCGGCUAACUUCGUGCCAGCAGCCGCGGUAAU